GAGUCUUUAAAUAAAUCUGACACAAGGAACACAAUGAACCUGCAACUGACAUAAAGAAGAGGCUGGGGUGUAAAAUUGAUUAUUGAUGCCUGGACAGAAAGGAUAUGGACUUCAAUGGAAUCCACAAGGGAAGCAGAGCAGGAAACGAGUAGAGAAGCAAGGAGCCGACUCAGCAUCAGCCUCUGAGUUGGGCAACUUAUCAGAUCUGAAAGCUGGAGUGGCUUACUGGACGUCUGUGGGAAGAUUGAAGACACACUGCCCAUGCCCAAGGUUAGGCACAGCAUCCAGG
This 289-nucleotide long non-coding RNA is filed under the name Canis lupus familiaris (dog). RNAcentral's name for it is "lncRNA (ENSCAFG00845017029.1)". Lineage: Eukaryota; Metazoa; Chordata; Mammalia; Carnivora; Canidae. The record is from RNAcentral.